CCCAUUUGAGCAAUGGGGGGACGCAGGAGGAUAGGGUAAGCGCGGUAUUGGAUAUCCGCGUCCAAGCAGUUAGGCUGGGAAAUAGGCAAAUCCGUUUCCCAUAAGGCUGAGCUGUGAUGGCGAGCGAAAUAUAGUAGCGAAGUUCCUGAUUCCACACUGCCAAGAAAAGCCUCUAGCGAGGUGAGAGGUGCCCGUACCGCAAACCGACACAGGUAGGCGAGGAGAGAAUCCUAAGGUGAUCGAGAGAACUCUCGUUAAGGAACUCGGCAAAAUGACCCCGUAACUUCGGGAGAAGGGGUGCUCUGUUAGGGUGCAAGCCCGAGAGAGCCGCAGUGAAUAGGCCCAGGCGACUGUUUAGCAAAAACACAGGUCUCUGCGAAGCCGUAAGGCGAAGUAUAGGGGCUGACGCCUGCCCGGUGCUGGAAGGUUAAGAGGAGCGCUUAGCGUAAGCGAAGGUGCGAAUUGAAGCCCCAGUAAACGGCGGCCGUAACAAUAACGGUCCUAAGGUAGCGAAAUUCCUUGUCGGGUAAGUUCCGACCCGCACGAAAGGCGCAACGAUCUGGGCACUGUCUCAACGAGAGACUCGGUGAAAUUAUAGUACCUGUGAAGAUGCAGGUUACCCGCGACAGGACGGAAAGACCCCGUGGAGCUUUACUGCAGCCUGAUAUUGAAUGUUGGUACAGCUUGUACAGGAUAGGUAGGAGCCUUGGAAACCGGAGCGCCAGCUUUGGUGGAGGCAUCGGUGGGAUACUACCCUGGCUGUAUUGACCUUCUAACCCGCCGCCCUUAUCGGGCGGGGAGACAGUGUCAGGUGGGCAGUUUGACUGGGGCGGUCGCCUCCUAAAAGGUAACGGAGGCGCCCAAAGGUUCCCUCAGAAUGGUUGGAAAUCAUUCGCAGAGUGUAAAGGCACAAGGGAGCUUGACUGCGAGACCUACAAGUCGAGCAGGGACGAAAGUCGGGCUUAGUGAUCCGGUGGUUCCGCAUGGAAGGGCCAUCGCUCAACGGAUAAAAGCUACCCCGGGGAUAACAGGCUUAUCUCCCCCAAGAGUCCACAUCGACGGGGAGGUUUGGCACCUCGAUGUCGGCUCAUCGCAUCCUGGGGCUGUAGUCGGUCCCAAGGGUUGGGCUGUUCGCCCAUUAAAGCGGUACGCGAGCUGGGUUCAGAACGUCGUGAGACAGUUCGGUCCCUAUCCGUCGCGGGCGCAGGAAAUUUGAGAGGAGCUGUCCUUAGUACGAGAGGACCGGGAUGGACGCACCGCUAGUGUACCAGUUGUUCUGCCAAGGGCAUCGCUGGGUAGCUAUGUGCGGACGGGAUAAGUGCUGAAAGCAUCUAAGCAUGAAGCCCCCCUCAAGAUGAGAUUUCCCAUUCCGCAAGGAAGUAAGAUCCCUGAAAGAUGAUCAGGUUGAUAGGUCUGAGGUGGAAGUGUGGCGACACAUGGAGCUGACAGAUACUAAUCGAUCGAGGACUUAACC
Molecule: ribosomal RNA, 1474 nt
Filed under: metagenome
Description: bacterial LSU rRNA
Rfam family: Bacterial large subunit ribosomal RNA
Source: RNAcentral